GAUGAAGAACGUAGCGAAAUGCGAUACUUGGUGUGAAUUGCAGAAUCCCGUGAACCAUCGAGUCUUUGAACGCAAGUUGCGCCCGAAGCCAUUAGGCCGAGGGCACGCCUGCCUGGGCGUCACACGUCGUUGCCCCCCCAUCUACUCCUUCGGGAUUGCGGGGGGCGGAUGAUGGCCUCCCGUGCGCCUCGCCGCGCGGUUGGCAUAAAUGCCAAGUCCUCGGCGACGCACGCCACGACAAUCGGUGGUUGCGAAACCUCGGUUGCCCGUCGUGUGCGGUCGUCGCGCAUCGAGGGCUCGAAAAAAUUGCCGGGCUCCGGCUCGGCUUUCAACGCGACCCCAGGUCAGGCGGGGUUACCCGCUGAAUUUAAGCAUAUCAAUAAGCGGGGA
RNAcentral lists this unclassified non-coding RNA (390 nucleotides) under soil metagenome. Its description in RNAcentral is "partial contains 5.8S ribosomal RNA, internal transcribed spacer 2, and large subunit ribosomal RNA". The stretch from base 1 to 122 matches the Rfam family "5.8S ribosomal RNA", at positions 35 to 154 of the family's 154-position model. The record is from RNAcentral.